Molecule: transfer RNA, 76 nt
Filed under: Kofleriaceae bacterium
Lineage: Bacteria; Pseudomonadati; Myxococcota; Haliangiales; Kofleriaceae
Description: tRNA-Arg
Source: RNAcentral
CCGCGCGUAGCUCAGCGGACAGAGCGGCCGUCUCCUACACGGCAGGUCCCCGGUUCGAGGCCGGGCGCGCGGACCA